This 432-nucleotide ribosomal RNA is filed under the name uncultured bacterium. Its description in RNAcentral is "partial 16S ribosomal RNA". It matches the Rfam family "Bacterial small subunit ribosomal RNA", at positions 29 to 506 of the family's 1533-position model. The record is from RNAcentral.
AACGAACGCUGGCGGCAUGCCUAACACAUGCAAGUCGAACGAGACCUUCGGGUCUAGUUGCGCACGGGUGCGUAACGCGUGGGAACCUGCCCUUAGGUUCGGAAUAACUCCCCGAAAGGGGUGCUAAUACCGGAUAAUGUCUUCGGACCAAAGAUUUAUCGCCUUUGGAUGGGCCCGCGUUGGAUUAGCUAGUUGGUAGGGUAAAAGCCUACCAAGGCUACGAUCCAUAGCUGGUCUGAGAGGAUGAUCAGCCACACUGGGACUGAGACACGGCCCAGACUCCUACGGGAGGCAGCAGUGGGGAAUAUUGGACAAUGGGCGAAAGCCUGAUCCAGCAAUGCCGCGUGAGUGAUGAAGGCCUUAGGGUUGUAAAGCUCUUUUACCCGGGAUGAUAAUGACAGUACCGGGAGAAUAAGCUCCGGCUAACUCCGU